RNAcentral lists this ribosomal RNA (255 nucleotides) under uncultured bacterium. RNAcentral describes it as "partial 16S ribosomal RNA". It matches the Rfam family "Bacterial small subunit ribosomal RNA", at positions 524 to 776 of the family's 1533-position model. The record is from RNAcentral.
UACGGAGGGUGCAAGCGUUAUCCGGAUUUACUGGGUUUAAAGGGUGCGUAGGUGGGUUGGUAAGUCAGUGGUGAAAUACUUUCGCUUAACGAAGGAACUGCCAUUGAUACUACCAGUCUUGAAUACAGUGGAGGUAGGCGGAAUGCGUCAUGUAGCGGUGAAAUGCUUAGAUAUGACGCAGAACACCAAUUGCGAAGGCAGCUUGCUACACUGUUAUUGACACUGAGGCACGAAAAGCGUGGGGGAGCGAACAGG